UACGUAGGGUGCAAGCGUUAAUCGGAAUUACUGGGCGUAAAGCGUGCGCAGGCGGUUUUGUAAGUCUGUCGUGAAAUCCCCGGGCUCAACCUGGGAAUGGCGAUGGAGACUGCAAGGCUAGAGUUUGGCAGAGGGGGGUAGAAUUCCACGUGUAGCAGUGAAAUGCGUAGAUAUGUGGAGGAACACCGAUGGCGAAGGCAGCCCCCUGGGUCAAGAUUGACGCUCAUGCACGAAAGCGUGGGGAGCAAACAGG
RNAcentral lists this ribosomal RNA (253 nucleotides) under uncultured bacterium. RNAcentral describes it as "partial 16S ribosomal RNA". It matches the Rfam family "Bacterial small subunit ribosomal RNA", at positions 524 to 776 of the family's 1533-position model. The record is from RNAcentral.